AGCAAAAGCAAUGCUUUAGAGCCUGCUGAUCAGAAAGGGAAGGAUUGUCAAGUGCUCUUGUCCAAGAUACUCUAAAUAAACAAUUGCUUCAAUCAUUCCAUUAAACAUGGCUGGGAGUCAGGAAGAACAGAUAUUGCAGUUCUCAGUUCAGCCAUUCUGACAGAAAGCAUCUGUUGGAUUUCCUGAGGGGCAGGAGCAAAACAAGAAGACAGAAGGCAGGUAAGAGGUUAGCAAGGAAGGCCAAGAUGGCAGUGAUGCCAAAGAAUGAAAAAAGUCAGGUGCUGAAGUACAUGAGUAUCUACAGUGCACAGUUUCUGACAUCCCAACUGGACCUGUGCUCCUGAAGACAAUCUUAUUAUCCACAACAUGACUUAAAAUAAGUUUCACAGUUCUUUUAUUUUCCAUUGCAUCUCCACAAACAGCUGUCCAAAAUGCAGUACUUAGGAAGAAUAAGGUAAUACUUAGGAAAGUACUAUUUGCAUUAGCCAGCUCUGAACCUGUUUGGCCUUAAACAUUAACAUUUCUUCUGGUGAGAAACUUGAACAGGAAGUGAAAAUCUCCAUGCCUCACAUUCUCCACUCUACUGCUAUUUGGGAAUGUACCAAUCAAAGAAGCCAUUAAAAGAGAAAAAAAAUAAAUUACUUACUGCAAGCA
Molecule: long non-coding RNA, 654 nt
Organism: Parus major (Great Tit)
Lineage: Eukaryota; Metazoa; Chordata; Aves; Passeriformes; Paridae
Exons: 2
Source: RefSeq, a predicted model, not a curated record